ACGGCUGCUCAGUCCCACGUGGACAACCUGCCCUCGGGUGGGGGAUAGCCCCGGGAAACUGGGGCUAAUCCCCCAUAGGUGAUGGGUGCUGGAAUGCCCCAUCUCCGAAAGCGCUUAGCGCCCGAGGAUGGGUCUGCGGCGGAUUAGGUAGUUGGUGGGGUAACGGCCCACCAAGCCUAAGAUCCGUACGGGCUGUGGGAGCAGGAGCCCGGAGAUGGACCCUGAGACAAGGGUCCAGGCCCUACGGGGCGCAGCAGGCGCGAAACCUCCGCAAUGCGGGAAACCGCGACGGGGUUAGCCGGAGUGCCCGUGCAUUGCACGGGCUGUCGGGGUGCCUAAACAGCACCCCAUAGCAAGGGCCGGGCAAGGCCGGUGGCAGCCGCCGCGGUAAGACCGGCGGCCCGAGUGGCGGCCACUCUUAUUGGGCCUAAAGCGUCCGUAGCCGGCCCAGUAAGUCCCCCGGGAAAUCUGGUCGCUUAACGAUCAGACUUCCGGGGGAUACUGCUGGGCUAGGGACCGGGAGAGGCCGAGGGUAUUCCCGGGGUAGGGGUGAAAUCCUGUAAUCCCGGGAGGACCACCUGUGGCGAAGGCGCUCGGCUGGAACGGGUCCGACGGUGAGGGACGAAGGCCUGGGGAGCGAACCGGAUUAGAUACCCGGGUAGUCCAGGCUGUAAACGAUGCGGGCUAGGUGUCACCGGAGCUACGAGCUCCGGUGGUGCCGGAGGGAAGCCGUUAAGCCCGCCGCCUGGGAAGUACGGCCGCAGGCUGAAACUUAAAGUGAUUGGCGGGGGAGCAGAG
Molecule: ribosomal RNA, 798 nt
Filed under: uncultured Archaeoglobi archaeon
Lineage: Archaea; Methanobacteriati; Methanobacteriota; Archaeoglobi
Description: bacterial SSU rRNA
Rfam family: Archaeal small subunit ribosomal RNA
Source: RNAcentral